This 1596-nucleotide long non-coding RNA is filed under the name Mytilus galloprovincialis (Mediterranean mussel). The record is from RNAcentral. Lineage: Eukaryota; Metazoa; Mollusca; Bivalvia; Mytilida; Mytilidae.
GUCCUUCCUUUUAAUAGUCAAUUUACAAACAAGUGUAAUUUUGAUAAGCAAAUACUUAAUGAACAAAAUAAGAUACGGACACAACAAUUGCUUUUAUACACGUUAUAUAUGUGUUGGCAAGCAAAAUAAUCAUAUGCGAUCAUUAAUAUUUUUCAAUUUUAUUUUUGGGACAACACCCUCAUAUCUCACCUGUCGUAUUCGUUCUAAACUGUAGGUGUAGACAAUAAUUUAUUAUUGAAAAGGUCUAUUAAAAGUUUGCAAUUAUCACAUUGAUGAUUUGGACAAAUCAAGACCAAUGUCUUGCAAGUUUCGUACUUUUUGGACGUUGUCAGUUUGAGACGCUACUAAAGUCUUCUCAAAAACCAAUUGAUAAUUUUCUUAUUCUGUAUUCAAACAUUUUAUCAUAUAUAAAAGCAGUUGUAAUGCUUCUCCUUAGAAGCCUUUAAAAUAAAAAGUACGGUUCGGACUCAUUUUACAAUUAGUAGACAAAACAGAGAAAAACAAUUGCGAUAUUCGCGAUCUAAUCAUGUCCCGAAAUAUUUCUUCUCAAUGUUAUAUGCAAAUGAUAGAAAUGAAGAUAACAACCGUAAAUAUUUCUUGAAUAGUUUACUAAAUUAUCUUAUCUUUAUAAUCACGGUGGGUAUGGUUGUCCUGCGAGAGAACGUUCUGUGCUGGUGAUUCGGUCCUGACGGGUGCUGGUGGGUCCUGAUUCUGUGCUUGUGGGUUUGUUUACAUUGUGUCAGAAUGGCAAUAAAACAACCGUUUUGUUACUUAAUUUUUCUCUGAUACGUCAUAAGUACCAUAACAAGCAUAUUACAACAAUAUUUUAUUACAAAAGUCGUGAAAGUUCGCUAAACGAAAUUGUCCUGACGCUGUGCUGGUGAUUUAAAAAACGGUCCUGGUUCUGUGCUCCUAUGUCCUGGUUCUGUGCCUUUAUAUUUAAGUCAAAAGUGGCAAAUAUUCCAGAUUAUUGAUGCUUAACUGUAAUUGACUAUAUCUAGCUGUUAUCUGUUUAAAAUAAACAUUAUUGUGACUAUGUUUUCUGUUAUUAUGAAAAAAAAUAACCCAUAAUUUUUUAAUUUAUUGUUUUCUGUUUUCUCAUUUAAAAUGAUUAAAAAAGCUGUUAUCGGUUAUCAUUAUUUCAAUGAACUGAAAUUUAAAUAAAAAUAUGUAGAAGACUUACAAAGCCAAGAGUCUCCUGACUCAGUGGCGGAUGCAGGAAUUUUCGAAAGGGGGGGUGCUAGCCCAGGGCAAAGGGGGGGUGCAGGUGGGGUGCAAACAUAUGUCCCGAUUCAAAUGCAUUGAUCGGCCAAAAUAAAGGGGGGGUGCGGACCCCCGGAACCCCCCCUCUGGAUCCGCCACUGCUGACUUGGGCCGGGCGCUAAAAUGCUUGAGGAUUUAACAUGUUUCGUAUACGAAUCAGACACAAUCAAAGUUGAUCAAGGCAAACAAUCGGAUUCAGGUGAGCCUGAACACCUCUUAGAUGAGUUUAAAUAAUAAAUUCAGUGUAAUCUAAGCAUCCUGAAUAAUGUUUCUCUGACAAAGGAGUAGGACCGAUUUUGGCCUCAAAUUUCAGGUUCAUCUGACGAAAGAUUU